UCUCUCUAUCCACCUUCAAAUUGUCUGAAAUAUUGGAGGAAAACAAAAAUAUCAUGGUAACAUUUACUUACUGUAAAUCUGUAUUGAAUUGCGCUAGAAAAUAGUGUUGUGGAUGGUUCCAACUACUGUCCUCUUAGAUACUCACUUUGAAAAGCUUCUCUGGAUUUCAGACCCGGCCGGACAUCCUCGUGAUCGUUUGAUCUCCAUAGAGGAUUGUUCAAGAGGACUCUCAACUCGACAGCAUUAGUUGGGUGGCAAAGCAUGGGAUAUGAUGCUCCCACUGUACUGCAACUAAAUCAAGUGUGAAUAGUCUUUCAUUGACAAGGAAUUAGCUGGGUUAGGUAUAACGGAAAUCAUUGAUAAGGAAAAGCAUCAAAGCAAAUCAAAGUUCUUCAUAAGAUGUCAUCACACCCCGUUUA
This is a non-coding RNA of Triticum urartu, 419 nucleotides long. The record is from RefSeq and is a predicted model, not a curated record. Lineage: Eukaryota; Viridiplantae; Streptophyta; Magnoliopsida; Poales; Poaceae.